AAAGCUGAAGUCAAGCAGGACUACCCGCUGAACUUAAGCAUAUUAUUAAGCGGAGGAAAAGAAAUCAACAGAGAUUGCCUUAGUAGUGGCGAACGAACAGGCAAGAGUCCAAGCUGUAAAUCUCCGCUCUUCGGGCGGCGAGUUGUAAGCUCAAGACUUGGAUCCGUAGACGGAAGGCGCGCAUAACUGGCCUGGAACGGCUGGGCAAAGAGGGUGAAACUCCCGUAUUUGGUGCGUCUGAAGUUGAAGGGCCGGGUCACAGAGUCGGGUAGCUUGGGAUUGCUGCCUUAAUCGGGUGAUAAUCUUCACCUAAGACUAAAUAUGGAUGGGAAACCGAUAGUGAACAAGUACUGUGAAGGAAAGAUGAAAAGAACUUUGAAAAGAGGGUCAAAAGACUUGAAAUCGUUGAGAAGGAAGGUAAGGAAGCUGGCAGAGGUGCGUGAUGCUGUACGAAAGCGAAGGCGGAUGGAUUCCUCAAAAGGUCCUGAAGUUGUAGCCGAGGAAAAGCCUCUCCGCGCCGAAGGCAAGAUCAGGUUCGUCGCUGUUGGAAGGGGCGUUGAUUUUCCGGGGUUUCCCGAAGCUGCGUUCUGAAGCACUGGCGGGCCUGAGGGGCUUUUGCGAUCUUGCCGAAACGGCUUUCUUACAACCGUCUUGAAACACGGACCAAGGAGUCAAACAAACAUGCGAGUUUGCGGGUGUUAAACCCAUAGGCGUAAUGAAAGUGAGUAUAAGGUGCCAAGGCGCAAGCUGGCAGCAUCAACCGCCGCUGAUCUUCUGUGAAGCGCGUGAGUAAGAGCAUAUUUGUUUGGACCCGAAAGAUGGUGAACUAUGCGUGAGUAGGGUGAAGCCAGGAGAAAUUCUGGUGGAGGCUCGAAGCGGUACUGACGUGCAAAUCGUUCGUCGAACUUGCGUAUAGGGGCGAAAGACUAAUCGAACCAUCUAGUAGCUGGUUCCCUCUGAAGUUUCUCUCAGGAUAGCUAGAGCAAUCAUGCAGUUUUGCUAGGUAAAGCUAAUGAUUAGAGGUUACGGGGGUCCAGUGCCCUCGGCCUAUUCUCAAACUUUAAAUUGGUAAGAACCGGAGGUUUUCUUCAUUGAACCGAGGGGAAGAAUGCAUGCUCUAAGUGGGCCAUUUUUGGUAAGCAGAACUGGCGAUGAGGGAUGAACCUAACGUCGAGUUAAGGCGCCUAAAUUCGCAAUCAUUGGACACCAUAAAAGGCGUUGUUUCAUUGAGACAGCAGGACGGUAUCCAUAAUAGUAGGAAUCCGCUAAGGAGUGUCUUCAAACUCACCUGCUUAAUGGAUCAGCCCUGAAAAUGGAUGGCGCUACAUUGCGAUGCCGAUACUCGACCGUCAGAGCUAUUAUGAUGCUUUGACGAGUAAGAGGGCGUGGGCGUGGUGCAGAAGCCGAGGCGUGAGCCUAGGUGGAACCGCGCUUAGUGCAGAUCUUGGUGGUAGUAGCAAUUAUUCAAAUGAGAACUUUGAAGGCCGAAGUGGAGAAGGGUUCCAUGAGAACAGUAUUUGGUCAUGGGUUACUCGGUCCUAAGGCAUAGGUUAACUCCUUUAUCCAAGCGCUAUCAGCGCGAUGCCGAAAGGGAAUGAGGUUUAUAUUCCUCAAGCUGGACGAGGUGUUUCGCGGCAACGCAAGCGAGCUCGGAGACGUCAGCGUGAACUCCUGGAAGAAUUGUCUUUUCUUUUUAACUGACUAUCGCCCUGGAAUUGGAUUAUCCAGAGAGAGGGCUUCAAGUCAGGAAGAGCAGCCUACUUUUUGGGCUGUCAGGUGCGUUCAUGAUGAUCAGUGAAAAUCCGGGGGAGGUGUACUUCUCGCCAGUCCGUACCAACAACCGCAUCAGGUCUCCUAGGUUAGCAGCCUCUGGUCGAUAGAAUAAUGUAGAUAAGGGAAUUCGGCAAAUUAGAUCCGUAACUUCGGGAAAAGGAUUGGCUCUGAAGACUGGGUUUGCGGGGCCUGCUCUAACGUGCUGAGGCUGAAUUGUGGAGAUUUCGGUCUCUGCUUUGAUGUCGCGGUGCGCGAAAGUAUGGAGCUGCGGGCGUAAAACAGUCAAUUCAGAACUGAAGCGGACAGGGGGAUUCUAACUGUUUAAUAAAAACACAGCAAAAGUGAUGCCUGAAAAGGUUUUGACACUUUGUUAAUCCUGCCCAGUGCUUUGUACGUUAAUGUGAGGAAAGUUGAGCAAGCACAGGUAAACGGCGGAAGUAACUAUGACUUUCUUAAGGUAGCGAAAUGCCUCGGCAUGUAAUUUGUGUCCUGCAUGAAUGGAUCAAUGAGGUUCCUACUGUCCCUAUCUACUAUCUAGCGAACCCACAGCCCAAGGGAACGGGCUUGGCAAAAUCAGCGGGGAAAGAAGACCCUGUUGAGCUUGACUCUAGUCUGACUUUGUGAAUUGAAAGAAAUGGUGUAGCCUUAGGUGGGAGCCUUGCGUCAAUGAAAAACCACUAACAUUUUUAUUCAUUUUACUUAUUCCGUGAGGUAGAAUGCCCAUUAGGGUUUUCUAGUUCUAAAGUCGUCUAACGGCUUGAUCUAGGCGGAAGACAUAGUCAGGUGGGGAGUUUGGCUGGGGCGGUACAUCUGUUAAACGUCAACGCAGGUGUCCUAAGGAAAGCUCAAAGAGAACAGAAAUCUCUUGUAGACUAAAAGGGGAAAAGCUUUCUUGAUUUUGAUUAUCAGUGUCAAUACAAACCGCGAAAGCGUGGCCUAUCGAUCCUUUAACUUUACAAGAUUUAAGCUAGAGGUGCCAGAAAAGUUACCACAGGGAUAACUGACUUGUGGCAGCCAAGCGAUCAUAGCGACGUUGCUUUUUGAUCCUUCGAUGUCGGCUCUUCCUAUCAUUGAGAAGCACAAAUCUCAACGUGUCGGAUUGUUCACCCGCUAACAGGGAACGUGAGCUGGGUUUAGACCGUUGUGAGACAGGUUAGUUUUACCCUACUGAUGAACCGAUACCGCGACAGUAGGAAAGUUUAGUACGAGAGGAACGGCUUUUCCGGAUAAUUGGUAAAUACGGUUGGCUGAAAAGCCAGUGCCGUGAAGCUAACAUCCGUUGGAUAAAGGCUGAACGCCUCUAAGUCAGAA
This 3084-nucleotide ribosomal RNA is filed under the name Chilodonella hexasticha. RNAcentral's name for it is "partial large subunit ribosomal RNA". It matches the Rfam family "Eukaryotic large subunit ribosomal RNA". Lineage: Eukaryota; Ciliophora; Phyllopharyngea; Chlamydodontida; Chilodonellidae. The record is from RNAcentral.